GCAUCAGCUGCCGAGCUGAAAUAGCCAUCUUUUUAAAACCAGCCCAGGACAGAGAGGAGGAAUGACGGGGAUGGUUACCUACAAAAUCAGAGGUCAAAACAUUUUGCUAGUCUGCAUCUCUGCGUUUCCUUCAACUUAAGUGUGGCAGAUGGAAAGUUCCUCGGGUCAGCCCUGAGCAGUGAGGCUGAGUGCGGUGCCAGAAGUCACUUGUACAAUGGCAAUGCACUGACUCUUAAGACCACAGCCUAUCCAGGACUGAGGUGUUAACAAGUACACCCUAUACUAUGUGGACCCAAAGACCAGAGCAGCCAAGCUGAUACUGUGACUGUACCCAUUUCUAAAGAGACCCAGAUCCAAUAGGCCCAGCUGGAUCCUGGCCCACAAAUCUGAGAUAACUGUGUGCUGUCUGGGCCAUGAAGUCCUGUGGGAAUUUAUUAUGCAGCCGAAGAUAACUAACCGGAAUGGUACUUUUCACUCUUCACCCCUUUUUGUGAACAGAAAAUGCUAUGAGAUAAUCCUUCUGUAUGCUGUGAGUAUGUAUUAUUCUCAUUAGUUAGUAAUAAGGCUGAUUGACCUAUAGCAAGGCAGGAUAAAGUUAGGUGGGACAAUCAAACUGAGGACUCAGAUGAAGAAAGGUGGAGUUGGGAGAGAUCUGAUCGAGCCACCCAAGAAGCAAGAUGCCAGAGGACCAGUAAAGCCACAGGCCACCUGGCAAUACAUAGAUUAAUAGAAAUGGGUUAAUUUAAAAGUAAAAGCUAGUUAGUAAUAAGUCUGAGCUAUUGACUGAGUGUUUUGUAAUUAAUAUAAGCUUUUGUGUGUUUAUUUGGGACUGGGAGGUCAGAACAGAGAAACUCCACCUCCAUUUACAAGAAAAAUUUUAUGAAACAAGAGAGAAACAAGCAGAAGGAGCAAACUGGGAACAGCCUGAAUGUGACAUGUGACAGAAUGCAUAGCAUUUUCCAUUGACUUAAGACAACAUGUGUGUGGAUACAGUGGAAGGUACAUGUCAGUAUGCAUGCGUGAGCAUCGUCACAAGUGAGCAUCAUCACAAAGACCUGCAGGCUAAUCAAAGAAGAGGCUCAGAUCCUGGGAAAGGGUCAGGCCCAACAAAGCUGAAACAAAG
Peromyscus californicus insignis is the source of this 1123-nucleotide long non-coding RNA. RefSeq lists it as uncharacterized. The transcript is spliced from 3 exons. NCBI's taxonomy places the organism in Eukaryota, Metazoa, Chordata, Mammalia, Rodentia, Cricetidae. The record is from RefSeq and is a predicted model, not a curated record.